UAACGCGAAGAACCCUACCAGGUCUUGACAUCUUCUGCUAACCUAAGAGAUUAGGCGUUCCCUUCGGGGACGGAAUGACAGGUGGUGCAUGGUUGUCGUCAGCUCGUGUCGUGAGAUGUUGGGUUAAGUCCCGCAACGAGCGCAACCCUUAUUGUCAGUUGCCAGCAUUUAGUUGGGCACUCUGGCGAGACUGCCGGUGAUAAACCGGAGGAAGGCGGGGAUGACGUCAAAUCAUCAUGCCCCUUAUGACCUGGGCUACACACGUGCUACAAUGGGUGGUACAACGAGCAGCGAGACCGCGAGGUCAAGCGAAUCUCUAAAAACCAUCCUCAGUUCGGAUUGUAGGCUGCAACUCGCCUACAUGAAGCUGGAAUCGCUAGUAAUCGCGGAUCAGC
Molecule: ribosomal RNA, 395 nt
Filed under: uncultured bacterium
Lineage: Bacteria
Description: bacterial SSU rRNA
Rfam family: Bacterial small subunit ribosomal RNA
Source: RNAcentral